This is an RNA transcript of Oncorhynchus keta (chum salmon), 1647 nucleotides long. It is a transcript of the gene named coatomer subunit zeta-1-like, with no coding region annotated. NCBI's taxonomy places the organism in Eukaryota, Metazoa, Chordata, Actinopteri, Salmoniformes, Salmonidae. The transcript is spliced from 11 exons. The record is from RefSeq and is a predicted model, not a curated record.
AUUCACGAACUAGAGGGAGCCAACAUGGCCGAAUGAAGGGCUUGGUUUCGUGGAGCCUCCUCCAGGCCCGCCCACCCAUGAGUCAGAGGAUUUUGCGAGGUCUACUAGAAUGACAGCUCAAACCUGUCCACGUCAACACCAGAGAACCACUAUGGAGAUCGCGUCUCUGGAACCCUCACUGUACACAGUGAAAGCAGUCUUCAUUUUGGAUAACGAUGGCAAUAGACUUCUAUCAAAGUACUACGACAAAGAGCUCUACCCCUCCAUGAAGGAGCAGAAGAACUUUGAAAAGAACGUUUUCAACAAGACACACAAAGCGGACACAGAUGAGAUUGCCUUUGUGGAGGGGAUGACGAUCGUGUAUAAGUGCAGCAUUGACCUGUUCUUCUACGUGGUGGGCAGUUCACAGGAGAAUGAGCUCAUGCUCAUGGCUGUACUGAACUGUCUGUUUGAGUCCCUCGGUCAAAUCCUAAGGAAAAAUGUGGAGAGAAGGUGUCUAUUGGACAACAUGGACGGAGUCUUCUUAGUAGUGGACGAAAUUAUCGACGGGGGGGUGAUCUUGGAAAGCGACCCCCAACAGGUCAUCCAGAAGGUCAAUUACAGGCUGGAUGGUUCAGAGCAAGCCUACGGCUUCGACCUCUUUGAUUACAUCGUUGGUAACAUUGAUGGACAGACGGACAGAAGCCAGUGUGCAUAGCAACAGACUGCCCCAACAACCAGAGAGGGCGGAUGAGAACCCACUGUCAGAGCAGAGCGUGGCUCAGCACAUUACGGACAAAUUGGCUAUGACCUCCAAUAUAAUGCAGUCUGCCAAAGAACAAAUAAAGUGGUCAAUACUCAAAUGAUCUACACCGCCUGUCCAAAGGUGGAAUGAACAGUACGAAUGUAUGUGUAAAUAUUAAAGGUGUAUUUAGCGCUUUAUGCUUAAAUAGGCUAUAUUUAUGGUGACUAGUGGCAAGUAUGGGCAUUUUUCAUAUGAAGGCAAGCUGACAUUUUGUAUGUAUUAUUUUGGAAAUAAUCUAUUUAAUUUAUUUGAUUUGAAAUAAAUUGCAAGAUAUUAUGCUAGAUUAUAGCAUAUGAUUUUGUUAAUUUCCCUUAACCCACCAAAAUGCUCUAAAGAAAUGUUUUAACCAAACCAAGAAAUCAACUGCAUUUUGUUGUAAUGUAUGCAGACCUACACAACUAGGGAAACUGUUGCUUGGGCUUCAAUAAUUAUGACGUUAUGUUACAGAGAACUUGAAAUAUGAAGUUAUGUUAUACUACACUUUUAAAGCUUUGUAAGUUGAACAGAAAAAGGCAAUAGCCUGUGUAGUGUUACAGUAGUCCUGUAUCUAGUUGAAAGUCAGGUUACCCCAUGUUAAUUUAUGUUUUAGAAUUAUUUUGUGUUCAUACUAAAACGAAGUUGGCGUAGGUGGGUAGGCCUAUGUUUUUUCUAAAGCACUGAGAACACCAUUAGGACUAUAAGAAUAACAUAUUUUGUUACUAGUCUAUGAUGGACAAAUACACUUUUAAUAUUUCCAUGUUUAACGCCAACGAAGAAGAGGCUAAUCAUUUUUGCUUUGUUGAUUUCUAUUGACAGCUUAUUUUUUUCAAAUGUAAUCUGCCUGUUGUCAAGCUAAUUAAAAUGUAUAUUUUGUUUUGUCAAAA